UGGAUAGGAGACAAGAAGGCAUCUUCUUGUUUUUAAAAGACCUAGCAAUAGGUAUGCUUAGGGAGGAGCUUGCGUCACAUUAGUUAGUUGGUGGGGUAAAGGCCUACCAAGACUAUGAUGUGUAGCCGGGCUGAGAGGUUGAACGGCCACAUUGGGACUGAGACACGGCCCAAACUCCUACGGGAGGCAGCAGUAGGGAAUUUUCGGCAAUGGAGGAAACUCUGACCGAGCAACGCCGCGUGAACGAUGAAGUAUUUCGGUACGUAAAGUUCUUUUAUUAGGGAAGAAUAAAUGAUGGAAAAAUCAUUCUGACGGUACCUAAUGAAUAAGCCCCGGCUAACUAUGUGCCAGCAGCCGCGGUAAUACAUAGGGGGCAAGCGUUAUCCGGAAUUAUUGGGCGUAAAGGGUGCGUAGGCGGUUAAAUAAGUUUAUGGUCUAAGUGCAAUGCUCAACAUUGUGAUGCUAUAAAAACUGUUUAGCUAGAGUAAGAUAGAGGCAAGUGGAAUUCCAUGUGUAGUGGUAAAAUGCGUAAAUAUAUGGAGGAACACCAGUAGCGAAGGCGGCUUGCUGGGUCUUUACUGACGCUGAGGCACGAAAGCGUGGGGAGCAAACAGGAUUAGAUACCCUGGUAGUCCACGCCGUAAACGAUGAGUACUAAACGUUGGGUAAAACCAGUGUUGAAGUUAACACAUUAAGUACUCCGCCUGAGUAGUACGUACGCAAGUAUGAAACUUAAAGGAAUUGACGGGACUCCGCACAAGCGGUGGAUCAUGUUGUUUAAUUCGAAGGUACCCGAAAAACCUCACCAGGUCUUGACAUGCUUCUGCAAAGCUGUAGAAACACAGUGGAGGUUAUCAGUUGCACAGGUGGUGCAUGGUUGUCGUCAGCUCGUGUCGUGAGAUGUUGGGUUAASGUCCCGCAACGAGCGCAACCCUUAUUGUUAGUUACCAGCACGUAAUGGUGGGGACUUUAGCAAGACUGCCAGUGAUAAAUUGGAGGAAGGUGGGGACGACGUCAAAUCAUCAUGCCCCUUAUGACCUGGGCUACAAACGUGAUACAAUGGCUGUUACAAAGGGUAGCUGAAGCGCAAGUUUUUGGCGAAUCUCAAAAAAACAGUCUCAGUUCGGAUUGAAGUCUGCAACUCGACUUCAUGAAGUUGGAAUCGCUAGUAAUCGCGAAUCAGCAUGUCGCGGUGAAUACGUUCUCGGGGUUUGUACACACCGCCCGUCAA
This 1231-nucleotide ribosomal RNA is filed under the name 'Orosius albicinctus' flat stem and witches'-broom phytoplasma. RNAcentral's name for it is "bacterial SSU rRNA". The record is from RNAcentral. Lineage: Bacteria; Bacillati; Mycoplasmatota; Mollicutes; Acholeplasmatales; Acholeplasmataceae.